GACGAACGCUGGCGGCGUGCCUAAUACAUGCAAGUCGAGCGCAGGAAACUGACGGAACUCUUCGGAGGGAAGGCAGCGGAAUGAGCGGCGGACGGGUGAGUAACACGUAAGGAACCUGCCUCAAGGAUUGGGAUAACUCCGAGAAAUCGGAGCUAAUACCGGAUAGUUCAACGGACCGCAUGGUCCGCUGAUGAAAGGCGCUCCGACGUCACCUUGAGAUGGCCUUGCGGUGCAUUAGCUAGUUGGUGGGGUAACGGCCCACCAAGGCGACGAUGCAUAGCCGACCUGAGAGGGUGAUCGGCCACACUGGGACUGAGACACGGCCCAGACUCCUACGGGAGGCAGCAGUAGGGAAUCUUCCACAAUGGACGAAAGUCUGAUGGAGCAACGCCGCGUGAGUGAUGAAGGUUUUCGGACCGUAAAACUCUGUUGUAAGGGAAGAACACGUACGAGAGGAAAUGCUCGUACCUUGACGGUACCUUACGAGAAAGCCACGGCUAACUACGUGCCAGCAGCCGCGGUAA
This 524-nucleotide ribosomal RNA is filed under the name uncultured bacterium. RNAcentral's name for it is "partial 16S ribosomal RNA". It matches the Rfam family "Bacterial small subunit ribosomal RNA", at positions 28 to 523 of the family's 1533-position model. The record is from RNAcentral.